GGAGGACCUGCAGAGAGAGAAUGGCCGUCCGUCUCAGGGCCCCCUCGGCCUCCUCAUGUCUUCUGGGCCCUUCCUUCUGCAGGGGACUUGAGUCAGCCUGGCCCUGGUCCUCCCCCCACCCCCCCUACUCUGGACUCCCCCUCCCCGGGGCCUUGCUGGCUUAGGACCAGAGGGACCAGACGUUCAUCUGGCUCAGUCCCCCUGACCUUCAGACGAGGACACCGGGACCCAGAGAUGCCCAUCUCCAGGAUGUUCUCCCAUAGGCCGGGGGUCCCGAGGCGUGAAGAGUACUCUUGCUAAGUGCCAGGGGGGAGCAGCCGGCCUGGAUAGCAGAGGAGGAAGCUGAGACACCCCCCACCCCACCCCCAAUUCAAACUCGGCCUUCUUUUCCUUCUGCUCCCAUGGAGCCCCGGCUCUCUCAGCUCCUGUGCUUCUUGGGUCCUACCCCUACUCCAUUCUACACCUGAUCCAGCUCUGUGUGCGAGGAGCUGGCCUCUCCCUUGGGUGUCCCCACCCUCUGUCCCGCUAAAUCCAUCGUCUAGCUAACCGGCCUGCCCAACUUGGAUGGCUUUCUGCCUAAAUGGCCUGCCCAGCUUUCUAUUCCCGCAGUGGCUACUCAGCUCCUACGAGAAAGACCUUUGUGGUUAAAUCCUUCCCACCCCCAAGGGAUUCCUCCCCUAAUUCACAAGUAUAAUGCCGGCUCAGGUAGUAUCUCCCCAGUUUCCUGUCUGGGGUCUCCCUAUCCUCUCUUCUCUCUGCCCACUGCUUUGUUCCCCCGCUCCCCUUGUUUUAUCCUGGUCUCUCCAUCCUUGCCAGAGCCUGAGGAAGGCUCCAAAACUCCUGUCUCCCCCACUAGCCUCUCUCCUGAUUGCCUAGAAUGUUCCCUGCCUGCCCCCUCGCCCACGAUAGAAGCUGGAGGGGAAUCCACUGGUUUGCAGCCCUAGCUUCCUUUCCGGGAGCCUGCCCAAAGGGUUCCUGGGCCUGCCACUGAGCAGAAUGUGGAGUCUCUCCCAGUUAGAACUCUGGAAGAGUAACCCGGGGAAUUCUGGGUGACUUUUAAAAUUUUAAUAGUAUUUUAUUUUUCCUAAUACAUGCAAAGAUAGUUUUCAACAUUCGCCUUUGCCGAACCUUCCUCCCCUUCCCCAAGACAGCAAGCAGUCCCUUAUAGGUUAAACCCGUGCAGUUCUUCCAAACAAACACUUCUAUAUUGCUAAUGGGGAGCUUCCAGUUAAGCACUGGGAAUCAAUAAUCAGUAUUUAUUAAAUACGAGGCAUUUUGCUCGACGAUAGUGAACCUUUCAAAGCUUUUCCAUCCAACUCCACGCUCUGGAUCAUCUUAGAAGAACAUAGAACUUGAAGAUGGAAGGCCUUAGAGAGCGAGCCCGAUCCUUUCUUUUUACAGAAGCGGAAGGUAGAAAGCAGCCCUGUAAAAGACUCAGCAGCCUUCACACCAGAAGUACUAGUUUUCCCUGCACGUCCCUUCACCCCAUUGCCAGAGUUAGAUCGGUGGAGUUCGGUGUUUUGGACGCUCUGCUGGAAAGUGUCAGAGAGCACAAGUUAAUAUUGAUUCCUAAAUGGAAGCCUACAGAGCCUUUGGGCUGACCUCAUUGUUGUAUGACUGGGAAACCUGCACCAGCCACCAGCACAUCGGGAAACUGAAUCGCUGCCAUGGAAUUGUCUUAGGAAGAUUCUGGAGAUCCCCUGGCAGCCUAAGGUCCCAGACACUGAGGUCUUCUCUUGAGCUAAACUGCCAAGUGUUCCCACUCUACUGUAGAGGGCCCAGCUCUGUUGGGCUGGUCACAGUGUUCUAUUGCCAAGUGUGUAUUUGCCAAACAAAUUUAUUUUAUGGAGAAAUCUCACAGGGCAAACGCUCACGAGAUGGGCAGAAAAAAACAAUACAAGGACACUGUCGCUCUGAAGAACGUUAGAAUCAAUUGUAUGACAUGGGAAAGCCCGGCGUGGAACCGCCCAGCAUAGCGUACCCUUAACAGAGAAGGUACUGUGCUCCACAAGCAAAGUAGAAUUCAUUUAGCUUAGAAGAAAUGUAAGAUACACAAAAGUAGAGAAGCCCCCCUGCCCCACAAGUGUUCAUAGGGACUAUUUGUGUCCGCCCUGUGGCCAAGCAUUCCAAGCUUGUCUGAUCAGCCACAGUUGGACAACAGCAAUUUGGUUCUAACAUAGUGAGAUCAUUUUGGUCCUCUUCGAGAACAAAGGACAACAAGAAGUGGAAACUGAGGCAUAGAGUAUGGUUGGCCUGAGGUCCCACAACCAGGACAGGCCUUAGAUUCUGAAUUGGUGCUCUUUUCAUUUGUACAUAACUCUUUGAGGGCAGAAAGUUGUUAGGAUUAUUACAAGGUAUUAAGUCAAUGGAAUUGAUAGACAAUAGUUAUCUAAUUUAGCAUGGUUCAGUAUGAUUGAUUUCAUGCUACAAGGAGAUAUUACGGGCCAGAACUUGAAACAAGGCACUAAGUGGAAUUGAGGAAACAGUGGUUAAAUGUUUAAAGUGGUUAAACAAAUAACGGUUUCCUAGUGAUAUAAUGAUUGGUAUAUACGCAGUGUGGGGCAUAUAAGCAAGAAGCUCUCAGGGCCAGAAGGGACAAGCACACUAGAAGUUCUUGCAGCCUCAGCCAGGACUCAAUUGGGGAGAUUCAGAAGCCAGAGAAGGCAGUCAGGGAGAAUGAGGGAAGACCAGAGAAGUGGUGGCAGGCUGAAACCAAGACACAUUCAGGAGGACCUCAAGAAGCUGGCAGAAGCAGAGAAGACAAAGCUUUGGCAGCAGAAGCUUAAACUCUCGGAACCAAGGAGAGAGAGAUAGGCCUCUAAGAAAGCUAACUGGGUCACAGGAAAGGAGACAAGACUUGGAAAGAGACACUAAAAGAUUUGGACUUUAAUACCUGGCUGCAUUUGGGGUGAUUGCUGAAAUGAAAUGAAGGCUGCCUCCAGAGACCCCAAGAAACCUGCUCCCAGGUAAUAUUACAUUUCAGAGAAGAAUAUUACACAAAGUGUCUUUGCUUUUGUAUUUGCAUUCUGACACAUAGUAUGUGCUGGAUAAAUGCGCUUUCAUCCAUUCUU
Antechinus flavipes (yellow-footed antechinus) is the source of this 3071-nucleotide long non-coding RNA. RefSeq lists it as uncharacterized. The transcript is spliced from 2 exons. The record is from RefSeq and is a predicted model, not a curated record. Lineage: Eukaryota; Metazoa; Chordata; Mammalia; Dasyuromorphia; Dasyuridae.